UACGAAGGGGGCUAGCGUUGCUCGGAUUUACUGGGCGUAAAGGGCGCGUAGGCGGACAUUUAAGUCAGGGGUGAAAUCCCGGGGCUCAACCUCGGAACUGCCUUUGAUACUGGGUGUCUUGAGUGUGAGAGAGGUAUGUGGAACUCCGAGUGUAGAGGUGAAAUUCGUAGAUAUUCGGAAGAACACCAGUGGCGAAGGCGACAUACUGGCUCAUUACUGACGCUGAGGCGCGAAAGCGUGGGGAGCAAACAGG
This 253-nucleotide ribosomal RNA is filed under the name uncultured bacterium. RNAcentral describes it as "partial 16S ribosomal RNA". It matches the Rfam family "Bacterial small subunit ribosomal RNA", at positions 524 to 776 of the family's 1533-position model. The record is from RNAcentral.